UAACAUAACACAGUAAAGUCUGU
Molecule: small nuclear RNA, 23 nt
Filed under: Arabidopsis thaliana (thale cress)
Lineage: Eukaryota; Viridiplantae; Streptophyta; Magnoliopsida; Brassicales; Brassicaceae
Description: snRNA_01355
Source: RNAcentral